This 21-nucleotide ribosomal RNA is filed under the name Haasiella splendidissima. Its description in RNAcentral is "partial 28S ribosomal RNA". The record is from RNAcentral. Lineage: Eukaryota; Fungi; Basidiomycota; Agaricomycetes; Agaricales; Hygrophoraceae.
AUUUUGACCUCAAAUCAGGUA